Molecule: non-coding RNA, 28 nt
Filed under: Homo sapiens (human)
Lineage: Eukaryota; Metazoa; Chordata; Mammalia; Primates; Hominidae
Source: RNAcentral
GACGGUGGAAUGGCUUGGAGAACUGGGC